GCAAGUCGAACGAGAUCUUCGGAUCUAGUGGCAGACGGGUGCGUAACGCGUGGGAACCUGCCCUUUAGUAAGGAAUAACUUUAGGAAACUGAAGCUAAUACCUUAUAAUCCCCUCGGGGGAAAGCUUUAUGCGCUAAUGGAUGGGCCCGCGUUAGAUUAGCUUGUUGGUGAGGUAAAGGCUCACCAAGGCUACGAUCUAUAGCUGGUCUGAGAGGAUGAUCAGCCACACUGGGACUGAGACACGGCCCAGACUCCUACGGGAGGCAGCAGUGGGGAAUAUUGGACAAUGGGGGCAACCCUGAUCCAGCGAUGCCGCGUGAGUGAUGAAGGCCCUAGGGUUGUAAAACUCUUUCGCCAGGGAAGAUAAUGACGGUACCUGGUAAAGAAGAUCCGGCUAACUCCGUGCCAGCAGCCGCGGUAAUACGGAGGGAUCUAGCGUUAUUCGGAAUAACUGGGCGUAAAGCGAGCGUAGGCGGAUUUGUAAGUUGGAGGUGAAAUCCCAGGGCUUAACCCUGGAACUGCCUUCAAAACUACAUUUCUUGAGUUUGGUAGAGGAGAGUGGAAUUCCUAGUGUAGAGGUGAAAUUCGUAGAUAUUAGGAGGAACACCAGUGGCGAAGGCGACUCUCUGGGCCAAUACUGACGCUGAGGUUCGAAAGCGUGGGUAGCGAACAGGAUUAGAUACCCUGGUAGUCCACGCAGUAAACGAUGAGUGCUAGAUGUUGGGAACAUUAGUUUUCAGUAUCGCAGCUAACGCGUUAAGCACUCCGCCUGGGAAG
Molecule: ribosomal RNA, 777 nt
Filed under: uncultured Alphaproteobacteria bacterium
Lineage: Bacteria; Pseudomonadati; Pseudomonadota; Alphaproteobacteria
Description: bacterial SSU rRNA
Rfam family: Bacterial small subunit ribosomal RNA
Source: RNAcentral